RNAcentral lists this ribosomal RNA (388 nucleotides) under uncultured bacterium. RNAcentral's name for it is "bacterial SSU rRNA". It matches the Rfam family "Bacterial small subunit ribosomal RNA", at positions 27 to 408 of the family's 1533-position model. The record is from RNAcentral.
GAACGAACGCUGGCGGCGCGCCUAACACAUGCAAGUCGAACGAGAAGGCGUAGCAAUACGCUUGUAAAGUGGCGAGCGGGUGAGGAAUACGUGGGUAACCUACCCUCGAGUGGGGAAUAACCAACCGAAAGGUUGGCUAAUGCCGCGUACGCUUCCAUCUCUUCGGAGGUGGAAGGAAAGCUGUACCGUGGGUACAGCGCUCAAGGAUGGGCUCACGUCCUAUCAGCUUGUUGGUAGGGAACGGCCUACCAAGGCAACGACGGGUAGCUGGUCUGAGAGGACGAUCAGCCACACUGGCACUGCGACACGGGCCAGACUCCUACGGGAGCAGCAGUGAGGAAUAUUGCGCAAUGGGCGAAAGCCUGACGCAGCGACGCCGCGUGGGGGA